CUUCCAGCAGCAGAGUACAUAUCAAAUCUGUCUUACACAGCUAGGGAAAUAAAACAUCAUAAAGAUAUACAAUAUUAGUUGUUAGAAUAUACUCCUAGUAUAAUUAAAAGUUCCCUAACAUUAUGUGUCCAAGUAUAAUAAGGAGUUAUUGUUUCCUAAUAUUGUGUUUCUUAGUUUAAUUAGAAAUUAUUAUAAUUUAUAGGUGACAAUAUAUGUCAAAGUUGGGGUGGUUAAUAAUCAACCAUGCUAACCGAGAUCCAUUCACCAUUGCGUAAAUUAAUACAACAUACCUAGGGGAUAGGUAAAUUAUAGGGGUCUGACAAAUGACAACCCAUCAAUUUUUAAUUGACUAUUUUAUUACAUCAUAAUCAAGGGGGGAAAUAGAUGAUAAUCAGAAGAAAAAAAACACUGAAAUUAAAGGAUGAGUUAUAAGCAUAGCUCGGAGUGUAGGAAUUAUAGAUUUCUAAAAGACACCUCUCGUAACAGGUCAAUAUGUGAAUACGAGAUCAGACCUCCAAGCUUUAAAAACAGACUAAAUUGAGAAAACAAAAUCAAGAUAUCAGUUAAAGAAAAUACAGAAUAACCAAGUUACCUCAGUUGAACCCUCGAGGUGAUCCUUUAUUCGUAUUCAAUCAGUUCCCUCUCUACAAAAGGAAACAUGACUACAUCUUAGUAGCUUUCAGCAUCUCAAAACUUUGCGCAGCGGGGGUAACCCUUUACCCCAAACCCCAUAUAACAUACUCAAUUUAUAUGAAAACUGUAGGGUUAGGUCUCUGGGAUUCUAUUUUGAUCAAGGGUUGAAAAUGAUAGUUAACUCAUCCAACGGCCAGUAUGUCGACUCUAGAAGGUUCUGUUCAAUCUAAAUGUAAUGAAGGGUUGAAAAUGAUUGAUCCUGAUCUAAUGGCUCAAAAAACAGUUCAAGAAGGUUCCUUUGACGUGAAAAUGCUCACACGUGUUGUAGUCACAAUGAAAAUUUUGGAAACAACACAAAAAUAGGAAUUCUUUUUUUCAUAAUAAAAAACUUCAAAUUCCCAAAGAACAAAAACAGAAAAUAAAUGCAAGCAAAUUCCAGUAUUUAAUAUCCAUAAAUACCAAAACCAGCAUAUAAGUCAUCUACUGCUCUCUCGUACUAAAUUAGAUGAAAUAAAUAUAUUUUAUGAAUAUAUAUAUACAUAUAUAUAUAUGUAUAUAAUAGCCUCCUCAUUUACCUUGAGGCCAGCAGAAAGUAAAAAGAUUCCACCGCCUUAAACGAAGCCAGACAUGUCUUGACUGUGCCUUCUACCUGCAUCAAUUAUUUAUUUAUCAUCAGUUUUCUUGUUUGAGGUCACAAUUUGGAGAAUCAGCAGAUGGCUGCGAAGCACAUGAAAUAGUACAUAUAUUCACAAAAGUGCACCAGAAUGCAGUUAAUAACUAUAUAUCUAUUAUUGGAUAAUGCAGGUAGUAACAAAUAGUCAAUAGAUGGUUGUCAAAGAAAAAGAACAGAAGAUGUUUUCUAUUGAGAACUACAGAAGAUGUUCGUAGCUGAUAAAUCUAUCACAAGGAUAGUAGUAUGUGAAAAUGAAUUGGUAAUAGGGUUCAGUGGAGAGGUAUAAACCGUACUAUCAACCAAGAUAGUAGUUUACUCAUUUCGAUAAUUGUGGACAUUUCUCAUAAGAAUCUUUAUGUGCAUUAUAUGCAAGCCUCUCAAAGGCUAGCAUAAAUAGAUCUAUAUAUGUUACAGGCACACAAACCAUUACACUCAUAUGAAGAGGUUUCGAGUUCAAGAGUCUCUAUCUGUAUUUUGACUCCCUUUUUCUUUGUGCACAGCAUGUUUUCCACCAUGGUUUCUCUUUUCGUAGACUUAGUGCACUGCGUUCUCUUUCUAUUUGUCUCACCAUAUGCAAGCUGAGUCAUUUUCAGGCCCAAUCCAAUGUUGAGUACCUUAAUCUUAUGGAUCUACCAAUGACCUAACAAAGCCACUGAUAAAAUCAUUAAUCAAAUGAUUAAAAUCCAUCAAUUCAAUCCCAUUCUUUCUCUCUCUAUCCAAACCCUCAAAUGCAUAUAUGUUCUUCAUUUUGGAUAUUCAAUGAAUUAUUAGAUGUUUUGAAAGUGAGCCGGCUCAUAGCAGCUUGCACCAGGCACAAAAUCAUACGAAUGGAUGUUGAGCAAGCCACGCAACAACAAUUACACAUGAGCCAAAUGAUCCAGUUGUCAAUAACCAAUUUAUCUAAAUCACUAUGACUAUCUCCUUCAAAUUUCCUAUAAAUUAUAUAACUCCCUCGCACUGGCCUAGGUGAUUGAAUUUCCUAUAAGGAAGCAGUUUCAUUCGGCUAUCUUUGGCAUCUAGAAAAUAAAAUCCGAUACAAUGAGUUGCAAGAUUAAAUUUUUCCUUGCUUAGACACAUUAACUCAAGCAACUGAGUUUCUGCCCGGUACCCAUUAUAAUUUCAGCUCAAACCCUUUUACCAUGUUCUUGAUAAAAUCAUCGGGCUACGCAUAGUUUACAGUUAUCAAAAGAAGUGGAAAAAAGGCUAAUAUGUAGUACUUCAAUUGCUAGGAAAUUUAUAGGUGAAAACAUCACAAAUCUUGUACUAGAAAGUUAGAUAUUCAACAAAUGCGGCUAAAUCUCUCUCCAGCAUAUACAAUUCGUUUCCAUUUAGUGAUAUUGGCAAGCGUUCAAUCAAAGUACGAAUUAAUCACUCAGCUUGUAAUUGGAACCAUCUUGAAAUUACUGGAGCUACUUAGUAAUAUGUCAAUGAGAUGAUAUCCAUUAAUAAGCAAAGCAAUAAACGAAACAGAAACAUGAAUAUAUAUAAUUUUGGCAUCUAUAUAGAGAAAGAAACCAUACCUUUCAAUCGAGAUAUUUAACAAUUUGAAAGAUGAAGGUAUCAAAAUAAGCACUUCUGCAAUACCAAAAGUUAAAAGUAGGUCCGGCAACAUGGGCA
Molecule: long non-coding RNA, 2923 nt
Filed under: Panax ginseng (ginseng)
Lineage: Eukaryota; Viridiplantae; Streptophyta; Magnoliopsida; Apiales; Araliaceae
Description: long non-coding RNA (PGIN_LNC012926)
Source: RNAcentral